UGGGGAAUAUUGGGCAAUGGGGGAAACCCUGACCCAGCAACGCCGCGUGAAGGAAGAAGGUUUUCGGAUCGUAAACUUCUAUCCUUGGUGAAGAUAAUGACGGUAGCCAAGAAGGAAGCCCCGGCUAACUACGUGCCAGCAGCCGCGGUAAUACGUAGGGGGCAAGCGUUGUCCGGAAUGAUUGGGCGUAAAGGGCGCGUAGGCGGCCUGGUAAGUCUGGAGUGAAAGUCCUGCUUUUAAGGUGGGAAUUGCUUUGGAUACUGUCGGGCUUGAGUGCAGGAGAGGUAAGCGGAAUUCCCGGUGUAGCGGUGAAAUGCGUAGAGAUCGGGAGGAACACCAGUGGCGAAGGCGGCUUACUGGACUGUAACUGACGCUGAGGCGCGAAAGUGUGGGGAGCAAACA
RNAcentral lists this ribosomal RNA (402 nucleotides) under uncultured prokaryote. RNAcentral describes it as "bacterial SSU rRNA". It matches the Rfam family "Bacterial small subunit ribosomal RNA", at positions 355 to 774 of the family's 1533-position model. The record is from RNAcentral.